AGUCCCAGCUCCAGUCCUUCAUCCACCUGGGACCUGCAGAGUGACAGGGAUGCUGCUGAACCAUCUCCUGAGAAGAGGAACCACACUUGCUGCCCAAUGUGUGGGGUGGUUAAAACAAAGGAAAUAUCAAGGAAAGCCAUCACAGGGAGCUCAUCGGCUUCACCCAGCUGUGUUUAAAUGACAUGACAGCCGCCAAAGUCUUGGAUUAAAAAUGAGACGGCUACCAUGGACAAGUCAAAAGUCUACAGGGUGUAUUCAUGAGUGACAUUAAGCAUGCUUCCUUUGUCCCCCAGAAAGAAGCACAGGCCAUUGGAUCUAGUCCUGCCCUCAGGAGCAACCGAGAAUAUGUCUGCCCUUCAGAUAAUGGAAGAGGGUGAUCAUCUCUCCCUGAAGUCUUCUCUUCUCCAGGAUAAACAGACUCCGCUUCUUCAAACGCUCCUCAUCAGGGUAGACAAUAAUGGGUUAAAUGGAUCAAGGGUCUGACUUGAUAUAAGCCAGCUUCAUACAAGAACUCAAGAGGCUGGUCAUAGGGACACAGGAACAUAGGAAACUGUCUUAUACUGAGUCAGACCAGUGGUCCAUCGAGCUCAGCAUUAUCUACACAGACUGGCAGUGGCUUCUCCAAGGUUGCAGGCAGGAGUCUCUCUCAGUGCUAUCUUGGAGAUGCUGCCAGGGAGGGAACUUGAGACCUUCUGCAUGCAGGUGCUCUUCCCAGACCGGCCCCAUAUCUUACCGUGCUCCCAUGUAUUCUCCCAUUCAAAUGCAAACCAAGGCAGACCGUGCUUAGCAAAGGGGACAAUUCAUGCUUGCUACCCCAAGACCAGCUCUCCUCUGGUCAUACAAAUGGGGGGAGUGUGGUGGGACUCUGUGGUCAGUGGCUAAAUGUAAAGCACGGUUCUGAAUCACAUGGAGAGAACUCCACCUCCAUAUUGUUAUGUGUGUGUAGGCUCCCUGCAGGUGAUUAACUAAAUAUAUGUAGAUCUCCCAGUCCCCACAGGUUCACUCAUCAGGCUUUUAAUGGCUAUGCUCAUGAUUCAUUGCAGACAGGUCAGUUGAGUAUGCCAUUACCACUGAGAUUUUGUGUGACCUGGUUCAGGUUCCUUCAGAGCAGACUUCUAGAUAACUACUGCUCCUACCUUAUCUUAGAGAGCACCUCCUUCUGUAUGAUCCCCACUGCACGUUAAGGUCAUCUGAGGAAGUCCUUCUCCAGUUACCACCGGUUCAUUGGGUGGCGACUCAGAGGCGGGCCUUCUCUGUAGCUGCUCCUGGGCUGUGGAAUGCACUCCCGGCAGAAAUCUGUAAUUUGAAUUCUCUAUUCGCCUUCGGGAGAGCCCUUAAAACCUCUGUUUGGCCUGGCCUUCCAUGGUUUUUAAAUAGUUGCAAUUGGUUUUAAUGUUGUAACCUGGUUUUCAGAGUGUUUUUAAUUGUUGUGAUUGUUUAAUUGCUGUUUUAUGAUGUUUUAAUUGUUAAUUGUUGUUUUAUGCUGUUUUAUAAUUUUUGUUUUAAUUGUUAACUGAUUUUAAUGGCUUUGUUUUAAUUGUAAACCUCCCUGAGCCAUUUUCAAGGGCGAUAUAAAAAUCAAAUAAAGGAAGGAAGGAAGGAAGGAAGGAAGGAAGGUAGGUAGGUAGGUAGGUAGGUAGGUAGGUAGGUAGGUAGGUAGGUUCGGGUUUUCUUCCAGCUCAAGUCAACAGUAAAUGUUUUGUUUGGGUCUUCAGUUUGGCUCCAUGGGUGCAUACAGAGUUAACAGAGCAAGACUGGUCUUACACUCAGUUCUUCUCCCUGGGAGAACAUGCUAUUAAGAUGUGCAGUCCCACCCCCAGAAUAAAUUGUGCUAAACAAAGAAAUGCUCUCUCUAAUGAGACGGAAUCCUCAUCUAAUCAAUAUAUUAUCUCACUUGGCUUGAAAUCAUAAAACCUUUCAUUGCUUCUAAUUAAAGACAAAAUUACUCAUAGGCCAGACAAAUUUAUGCUAAUCAUAAGCUUGAUUCAAGUGGCAUUUUCAACAUUAUAAAAAUAAUAAGAAUGUCAGUGUUUAAACCGAGAACUCAUUGGAACUAAAGAAAAGGGUGGGGGUGGGGAAAAAACAAAUGACUUGGAGUGAGAUUAUUCCUUUCAAUUAAUUAAGUCACUCCUGAUUAGGUAUUUUAACUUCCCUGAGUCUUUGUUACACUUUUUUUGGCUUUUCACAGAGGUAUAGGGGACCUGUGUGAUAGCAAUGAGCAAUCUGAUCGGUCAUGGUGGUGAGCAAUUAUUUGUAAUUAGAACAAUGAAAAAGUACUCUGAGUGUGUGUGUGCGUGUCCAUGUGUGCGCACACCUUUGUGUGGGGGCUUGAGCAUGGUCUUAACAAUCCAGAGGGGUUGGUGACGUGAUUGAACUUUGAAGAGUGAUGAACUUUCAUUGAAGAGUGAUUAACUUUCAAAAGCUUAAAGGUCCUACUUGAAUCAGCGUUCAGAUGUCUGAGUCUUCUCCAUUUUCAGAAUCACACACUCCAGAAAGUCAGCCCAGAGGCCUUAUCUAUUUAUUAAAACGUGCCUCAGCUUUCAGUCCCAAAUGGGACCCCCUCCAGAUGAACACAGGGGAACAGGAAGCUGCCGUAUACUGAGUCAGGCCCUUAGUCCCUCUAGCUCAGUAUUGUCUACACUGACUGGCAGCAGCUUCUCCAAGGUUGCAGGCAGGAGCCUUUCCCAGCUCUGCCUGGAGAUGCUGCCAGGGAUUGAAACUGGGUCCUUCUGCAUGCAAGGCAGAUGCUCUACCAUUGUGCAGCACCCC
This is a long non-coding RNA of Hemicordylus capensis (graceful crag lizard), 2769 nucleotides long. RefSeq lists it as uncharacterized. The record is from RefSeq and is a predicted model, not a curated record. Lineage: Eukaryota; Metazoa; Chordata; Lepidosauria; Squamata; Cordylidae. The transcript is spliced from 3 exons.